This 492-nucleotide ribosomal RNA is filed under the name uncultured bacterium. RNAcentral's name for it is "partial 16S ribosomal RNA". It matches the Rfam family "Bacterial small subunit ribosomal RNA", at positions 29 to 507 of the family's 1533-position model. The record is from RNAcentral.
AGUGAACGCUGGCGGUAGACCUAACACAUGCAAGUCGAACGGCAGCACAGUAAGAGCUUGCUCUUACGGGUGGCGAGUGGCGGGCGGGUGAGGAAUACAUCGGAAUCUACUUUUUCGUGGGGGAUAACGUAGGGAAACUUACGCUAAUACCGCAUACGACCUACGGGUGAAAGCAGGGGAUCUUCGGACCUUGCGCGAUUGAAUGAGCCGAUGUCGGAUUAGCUAGUUGGCGGGGUAAAGGCCCACCAAGGCGACGAUCCGUAGCUGGUCUGAGAGGAUGAUCAGCCACACUGGAACUGAGACACGGUCCAGACUCCUACGGGAGGCAGCAGUGGGGAAUAUUGGACAAUGGGCGCAAGCCUGAUCCAGCCAUACCGCGUGGGUGAAGAAGGCCUUCGGGUUGUAAAGCCCUUUUGUUGGGAAAGAAAAGCAGCAGGUUAAUACCCCGCUGUUCUGACGGUACCCAAAAAAUAAGCACCGGCUAACUUCGUG